CCGUAAGGGGAAUGAUGUAUUACUAUAGGGCACUUAAGAUGCUUGCUUAUCUUGACGGUGCAUCUGAGAUAGAUAUUCGA
This is a non-coding RNA of Daucus carota subsp. sativus, 80 nucleotides long. Lineage: Eukaryota; Viridiplantae; Streptophyta; Magnoliopsida; Apiales; Apiaceae. The record is from Rfam.